Sapajus apella (tufted capuchin) is the source of this 1750-nucleotide RNA transcript. It is a transcript of the gene named aldo-keto reductase family 1 member B1 pseudogene, with no coding region annotated. The record is from RefSeq and is a predicted model, not a curated record. The transcript has a single exon. Lineage: Eukaryota; Metazoa; Chordata; Mammalia; Primates; Cebidae.
AAAGGCCCUCAGUGACUCUCAUCUCAAUCCAAAGAAAAGCAAAAAGCAAGACUGUUCGUCAUGCUCUGGCCUGUUACCUCUCCACUGUCACCUCCUACUAUUCUUGCCUCGCUCACUCUGCUUCAGCUAGAGUGGCUUCUUGCUAGAUCCCCCAAAAUACCCCGCAUGCCUCUGUCUUAAGGCCUUUGUACAUGCUGAUCCCUUGGCCUGAACACCUUUCUUUCUAAUCUCUGCUUGGCUCAUGCCCUUUGUUAAAAAAUGACAUUGUCAGAAAGGCCCUGCAUGACCAGUCAGUGUGAAAACACACCCAGCCAAUCUUUAAGUUUCAUACCCUGCUGUAUUCUUCAUAGCACUUGCCAUUACCUAACAUAUUUAAGUAUUUGUAAGGUUCUGAGCAGGGCUCUGGGGAGCGCAGCAGCCAUGGCCAGCCACCUCGUGCUCAACAACGGCACCAAGAUGCCCAUCCUCGGGCUGGGCACCUGGAAGUCCCCUCCAGGCCAGAUGACUGAGGCUGUGAAGGUGGCCAUCGACGUUAGGUACUGGCACAUUGACUGUGCCCACGUGUACCAGAACGAGAAUGAGGUGGGGGUAGCCACUCAGGAGAAGCUCAGGGAGCAGGUGGUGAAGCGUGAGGAGCUCCUCAUGGUCAGCAAGCUGUGGUGCACGUACCAGGAGAAGGGCCUGGUGAAAGGAGCCUGCCUGAAGAUGCUCAGCCCCAUGAAGCUGGACUGCCUGGACCUCUACCUUAUUCACUGGCCGACUGGCUUUAAGCCUGGGAAGGAAUUUUUCCGAUCGGAUGAGUCAGGCAGCAUGGUUCCCAGUGACACCAACAUUCUGGACACGUGGGUGGCCAUGGAAGAGCUGGUGGAUGAAGGGCUGGUGAAAGCUAUUGGCAUCUCCGACUUCAACCAUCUCCAAGUGGAGAGGAUCUUAAAGCUGGUUUAAAGUAUAAGCCCGCAGUUAGCCAGAUUGAAUGCCGCCCGUACCUCAUUCAGGAGACGUUAAUCCAGUAUUGCCAGUCCAAAGGCAUUGUGGUGACUGCCUACAGCCCCCUCGGCUCUCCCGACAGGCCCUGGGCCAAACCUGAGGACAUUCCCUUCUGGAGGACCCCAAGAUCAAGGCGAUCACAGCCAAGCACAAUAAAACUACAGCCCAGGUCCUGAUCCGGUUCCACAGGCAGAGGAACUUGGUGGUGAUCCCCAAGUCUAUGACACCAGAACGCACCGCUGAGAACUUUAAGACCUUUGACUUUGGACUGAGCAGCCAGCAUAUGACCACCUUACUCAGCUACAACAGGAACUAGAGGGUCUAUGCCUUGGUGAGCUGUGCCUCCCACAAGGAUUAGCCCUUCCAUGAAGAGUUUUGAAGCUGUGGAUGCCUGCUUGUCCUUAAGUGACCUAUACCUGUGUUUCCUGCCUCAUUUUUUCCCUGCAAAUGUAGUAUAGCCUGUGUCACUCCGCAGUGGGACAGCAACCUGUAGAGUGGCCAGCGGGGGCGUGUCUAGCUUGAUGUUGGAUCUGACGAGGCCUGUCAGUAGAGUAGAAGUCUCUUUCAGUUUGCUGUGCCCUUCUUUUUGCCCCGCUGGGGAAAGUAUAACCUGAAUACUCUUUUCUGACCAAAAAGCAGCAAAAUCUGCCAGGUCAAAAUGGUGCCACUGACAGCUGAGUUUUGACCACUUGGAACUGUAAUCCUCUCAGCAAGACUCCUCUUUGCCUCAAAUAAAAAGUGCUUUUGUGAAAUAAAAAAAAAA